This 446-nucleotide ribosomal RNA is filed under the name uncultured bacterium. RNAcentral's name for it is "bacterial SSU rRNA". It matches the Rfam family "Bacterial small subunit ribosomal RNA", at positions 329 to 792 of the family's 1533-position model. The record is from RNAcentral.
AGCCAGACUCCUACGGGAGGCAGCAGUGGGGAAUAUUGCACAAUGGGGGAAACCCUGAUGCAGCGACGCCGCGUGAGUGAAGAAGUAUUUCGGUAUGUAAAGCUCUAUCAGCAGGGAAGAGAAUGACGGUACCUGACUAAGAAGCCCCGGCUAACUACGUGCCAGCAGCCGCGGUAAUACGUAGGGGGCAAGCGUUAUCCGGAUUUACUGGGUGUAAAGGGAGCGUAGACGGCAUGGCAAGUCAGAUGUGAAAGCCCGGGGCUCAACCCCGGGACUGCAUUUGAAACUGUCAGGCUGGAGUGCAGGAGAGGUAAGUGGAAUUCCUAGUGUAGCGGUGAAAUGCGUAGAUAUUAGGAGGAACACCAGUGGCGAAGGCGGCUUACUGGACUGUAACUGACGUUGAGGCUCGAAAGCGUGGGGAACAAACAGGAUUAGAUACCCGCGUA